GGCGGCGUGGAUUAGGCAUGCAAGUUGAGCGACGGAUAGCCUUCGGGCUAUUACGGAGCAGCGAACGGGUGAGUAACACGUGAACAAUCUGUCCCUACAUUCCGGAUAAUUGGCCGAAAGGCCUUGUAAUACGGGCGAGGAUCCUGCUUUGGCAUCUUAGCGGGAAGGAAGGCGCAAGCCGUGCAGGGAGGAGUUCGCGGCCUAUCAGUUAGUUGGUGGGGUAACGGCCUACCAAGACGACGACGGGUAGCUGGUCUGAGAGGAUGGUCAGCCACAUUGGAACUGAGACACUGUCCAGACUCCUACGGGAGGCUGCAGUCGAGAAUCUUGGGCAAUGCACGAAAGUGUGACCCAGCGACGCCGCGUGGAGGAUGAAGGCCCUUGGGUUGUAAACUCCUUUUAUGUGGGAAGAAUGCCAGCAAUGGUUUGACGGUACCACAUGAAUAAGCCACGGCUAACUACGUGCCAGCAGCCGCGGUAAUACGUAGGUGGCAAGCGUUGUCCGGAUUUACUGGGCGUAAAGGGUAUGUA
RNAcentral lists this ribosomal RNA (531 nucleotides) under uncultured bacterium. RNAcentral's name for it is "bacterial SSU rRNA". It matches the Rfam family "Bacterial small subunit ribosomal RNA", at positions 38 to 573 of the family's 1533-position model. The record is from RNAcentral.